UUAAAUUGAAGAGUUUGAUCAUGGCUCAGAUUGAACGCUGGCGGCAGGCCUAACACAUGCAAGUCGAACGGUAACAGGAAGAAGCUUGCUUCUUUCGCUGACGAGUGGCGGACGGGUGAGUAAUGUCUGGGAAACUGCCUGAUGGAGGGGGAUAACUACUGGAAACGGUAGCUAAUACCGCAUAACGUCGCAAGACCAAAGAGGGGGACCUUCGGGCCUCUUGCCAUCGGAUGUGCCCAGAUGGGAUUAGCUUGUUGGUGGGGUAACGGCUCACCAAGGCGACGAUCCCUAGCUGGUCUGAGAGGAUGACCAGCCACACUGGAACUGAGACACGGUCCAGACUCCUACGGGAGGCAGCAGUGGGGAAUAUUGCACAAUGGGCGCAAGCCUGAUGCAGCCAUGCCGCGUGUAUGAAGAAGGCCUUCGGGUUGUAAAGUACUUUCAGCGGGGAGGAAGGGAGUAAAGUUAAUACCUUUGCUCAUUGACGUUACCCGCAGAAGAAGCACCGGCUAACUCCGUGCCAGCAGCCGCGGUAAUACGGAGGGUGCAAGCGUUAAUCGGAAUUACUGGGCGUAAAGCGCACGCAGGCGGUUUGUUAAGUCAGAUGUGAAAUCCCCGGGCUCAACCUGGGAACUGCAUCUGAUACUGGCAAGGCUUGAGUCUCGUAGAGGGGGGUAGAAUUCCAGGUGUAGCGGUGAAAUGCGUAGAGAUCUGGAGGAAUACCGGUGGCGAAGGCGGCCCCCUGGACGAAGACUGACGCUCAGGUGCGAAAGCGUGGGGAGCAAACAGGAUUAGAUACCCUGGUAGUCCACGCCGUAAACGAUGUCGACUUGGAGGUUGUGCCCUUGAGGCGUGGCUUCCGGAGCUAACGCGUUAAGUCGACCGCCUGGGAGUACGGCCGCAAGGUUAAAACUCAAAUGAAUUGACGGGGGCCCGCACAAGCGGUGGAGCAUGUGGUUUAAUUCGAUGCAACGCGAAGAACCUUACCUGGUCUUGACAUCCACAGAACUUUCCAGAGAUGGAUUGGUGCCUUCGGGAACUGUGAGACAGGUGCUGCAUGGCUGUCGUCAGCUCGUGUUGUGAAAUGUUGGGUUAAGUCCCGCAACGAGCGCAACCCUUAUCCUUUGUUGCCAGCGGUCCGGCCGGGAACUCAAAGGAGACUGCCAGUGAUAAACUGGAGGAAGGUGGGGAUGACGUCAAGUCAUCAUGGCCCUUACGACCAGGGCUACACACGUGCUACAAUGGCGCAUACAAAGAGAAGCGACCUCGCGAGAGCAAGCGGACCUCAUAAAGUGCGUCGUAGUCCGGAUUGGAGUCUGCAACUCGACUCCAUGAAGUCGGAAUCGCUAGUAAUCGUGGAUCAGAAUGCCACGGUGAAUACGUUCCCGGGCCUUGUACACACCGCCCGUCACACCAUGGGAGUGGGUUGCAAAAGAAGUAGGUAGCUUAACCUUCGGGAGGGCGCUUACCACUUUGUGAUUCAUGACUGGGGUGAAGUCGUAACAAGGUAACCGUAGGGGAACCUGCGGUUGGAUCACCUCCUUACCUUAAAGAAGC
This 1557-nucleotide ribosomal RNA is filed under the name Escherichia coli. Its description in RNAcentral is "bacterial SSU rRNA". It matches the Rfam family "Bacterial small subunit ribosomal RNA". Lineage: Bacteria; Pseudomonadati; Pseudomonadota; Gammaproteobacteria; Enterobacterales; Enterobacteriaceae. The record is from RNAcentral.